This 897-nucleotide long non-coding RNA is filed under the name Homo sapiens (human). RNAcentral's name for it is "HSALNT0311554". Lineage: Eukaryota; Metazoa; Chordata; Mammalia; Primates; Hominidae. The record is from RNAcentral.
AGCAGAGACUGAGCCACUGCACUCCAGCUUGGGUGAUAGAGUGAGACUCUGUCUCAAAAACAAAACAAAACAAAUCAAACACUGCUUUGGGCUCAAAUCCCUGAUUCUCAGUGUAUGAACUUUGCAACUUUACCUCUCUGUGCCUGCUUCCUCACUUACCAGGGAAAGUUUCAGAACUGUUGCUCCUGGCAGACACUUCGUGGACACGCAUACUCACCAUGCCUCCUUCCUGCUGACAACUGGGGACUUAAGUCACAACCUGCAGACUAGCACAGAGAAAUGUCUGACUCUUCAGUUGAGUUCAACAAAUGCUUAUUGAGCACCUCCUAAGUACCAGGCACUGUUGAUACAAAGAAAAAGUCUCACUCUGUCUCCCAGGCUGGAGUGCACAGGCACAAUCUCGGCUGGCUGCAGCCUCCACCUCCCAGGUUCAAGUGAUUCUUGUGCCUCAGCCUCCUGAGAUAUCUUUAAAGUUUUCUUGUUUCUUUCUUAAGAAAACUCUCCCUAUUCUAAUCUCCACUCAUAAUUCUCAAGAUGGUGUACAAAUAUUGCUAUAAAUAACUAUUCAUCAGGAAGUUCCAAGAAAGGUUCUGUUGGGCAAUAGUUGAUAUAACUCAUGAAAUAAAUAUUUACUGAACAUGUAUUAUGUGCCAGUAAUUAAUUAUGCAGUUUUUAUCUAGGAGGUAUAAAUACAUUUUUGCUUUUGGUAAAAUAAUAUUUUCACAAACAUAUUUAGAAAGGUUUUACAGCAUUAUUUUUACCCAUAGUGUAUUAAUUUUCUCAAUUAUGACUUCACUGGUGGUAGGUUUUAAGAACAUAAUCUUCAUAGAAAGUGAAAAAGAUAUAUAUUUAUACCAUACUCCCAUUAAUGGUAAUUCAUGGCCCAAACCUAUCCCU